UUUCCGUAGGUGAACCUGCGGAAGGAUCAUUAUUGUAUAACCGAGGUGCGAGGGCUGUCGCUGACCCGAAAGAUCGUGCACGCCCGAGUGCCCUCACACACAUCCAUCUCACCCCUAUGUGCACCACCGCGUGGGUCCCCCUUUGGCUUGUUCGGAGGGGGGCUUACGCUUUCACACAAACUUUGUAUGCAGUGUAGAAUGUAUUUUUUGUUUUUGCGAUCACGCAAUCAAUACAACUUUCAACAACGGAUCUCUUGGCUCUC
RNAcentral lists this unclassified non-coding RNA (263 nucleotides) under plant metagenome. Its description in RNAcentral is "partial contains small subunit ribosomal RNA, internal transcribed spacer 1, and 5.8S ribosomal RNA". The record is from RNAcentral.